This 85-nucleotide transfer RNA is filed under the name Planctomycetota bacterium. RNAcentral's name for it is "Planctomycetes bacterium (activated sludge metagenome) tRNA-Leu". It matches the Rfam family "tRNA". Rfam says of the family: Transfer RNA (tRNA) molecules are approximately 80 nucleotides in length. Their secondary structure includes four short double-helical elements and three loops (D, anti-codon, and T loops). Further hydrogen bonds mediate the characteristic L-shaped molecular structure. tRNAs have two regions of fundamental functional importance: the anti-codon, which is responsible for specific mRNA codon recognition, and the 3' end, to which the tRNAs corresponding amino acid is attached (by aminoacyl-tRNA synthetases). tRNAs cope with the degeneracy of the genetic code in two manners: having more than one tRNA (with a specific anti-codon) for a particular amino acid; and 'wobble' base-pairing, i.e. permitting non-standard base-pairing at the 3rd anti-codon position. The record is from RNAcentral. Lineage: Bacteria; Pseudomonadati; Planctomycetota.
GCGAGAGUGGCGGAAUUGGCAGACGCGCAAGACUUAGGAUCUUGUGGAGAGAUCCGUGCGGGUUCGAGUCCCGCCUCUCGCACCA